Molecule: long non-coding RNA, 1542 nt
Organism: Anopheles funestus (African malaria mosquito)
Lineage: Eukaryota; Metazoa; Arthropoda; Insecta; Diptera; Culicidae
Exons: 4
Source: RefSeq, a predicted model, not a curated record
AGGUGUCUUGGCUAAGGUGUCUUGGCUUAUGUGUCUUGGCUAAGGUGUCUUGGCUAAGGUGUCUUGGCUAAUGUGUCUCGGCUAAUGUGUCUUGGCUAAUGUGUCUUGGCUUAUGUGUCUUGGCUAAGGUGUCUUGGCUAAAGUGUCUUGGCUAAUGUGUCUUGGCUAAGUUGUCUUGGCUAAUGUGUCUUGGCUAAUGUGUCUUGGCUAAGGUGUCUUGGCUAAUGUGUCUUGGCUAAGGUGUCUUGGCUAAGGUGUCUUGGCUAAGGUGUCUUGGCUAAGGUGUCUUGGCUAAUGUGUCUUGGCUAAGGUGUCUUUGCUAAUGUGUCUUGGCUAAUGUGUCUUGGCUAAUGUGUCUCGGCUAAUGUGUCUCAGCUAAUGUGUCUUGGCUAAAGUGUCUUGGCUAAUGUGUCUUGGCUAAGGUGUCUUGGCUAAUGUGUCUUGGCUAAAGUGUCUUGGCUAAUGUGUCUUGGCUAAGGUGUCUUGGCUAAGGUGUCUUGGCUAAGGUGUCUUGGCUAAUGUGUCUUGGCUAAGGUGUCUUGGCUAAUGUGUCUUGGCUAAUGUGUCUUGGCUAAUGUGUCUUGGCUAAUGUGUCUCAGCUAAUGUGUCUUGGCUAAAGUGUCUUGGCUAAUGUGUCUUGGCUAAUGUGUCUUGGCUAAGGUGUCUUGGCUAAGGUGUCAUGGCUAAGGUGUCUUGGCUAAUGUGUCUUGGCUAAUGUGUCUUGGCUAAUGUGUCUUGGCUAAGGUGUCUUGGCUAAUGUGUCUUGGCUACUGUGUCUCGGCUAAUGUGUCUUGGCUAAGGUGUCUUGGCUAAGGUGUUUUGGCUAAUGUGUCUUGGCUUAGGUGUCUUGGCUAAUGUGUCUUGGCUAAUGUGUCUUGGCUAAUGUGUCUUGGCUAAGGUGUCUUGGCUAAUGUGUCUUGGCUAAUGUGUCUUGGCUAAUGUGUCUUGGCUAAUGUGUCUUGGCUAAGGUGUCUUGGCUAAGGUGUCUUGGCUAAGGUGUCUUGGCUAAGGUGUCUUGGUUAAGGUGUCUUGGCUAAUGUGUCUUGGCUAAUGUGUCUUGGCUAAGGUGUCUUGGCUAAGGUGUCUUGGCUAAUGUGUCUCGGCUAAUGUGUCUUAGCUAAUGUGUCUUGGCUAAGGUGUCUUGGCUAAGGUGUCAUGGCUAAGGUGUCUUGGCUAAUGUGUCUUGGCUAAUGUGUCUUGGCUAAGGUGUCUUGGCUAAUGUGUCUUGGCUAAUGUGUCUUGGCUAAUGUGUCUUGGCUAAUGUGUCUUGGCUAAUGUGUCUUGGCUAAUGUGUCUUGGCUAAGGUGUCUUGGCUAAUGUGUCUUGGCUAAGGUGUCUUGGCUAAGGUGUCUUGGCUAAGGUGUCUCGGCUAAUGUGUCUUGGCUAAUGUGUCUUGGCUAAUGUGUCUUGGCUAAUGUGUCUUGGCUAAUGUGUCUUGGCUAAGGUGUCUCGGCUAAUGUGUCUUGGCUAAUGUGUCUUGGCUAAUGUGUCUUGGCUAAUGUGUCUUGGCUAAUGUGUCUUGGCUAAGGUGUCUUGGCUAAU